GAUGAACGCUAGCGGGAGGCCUAACACAUGCAAGCCGAGCGGUAUGGAUAGCUUGCUAUCCAGAGAGCGGCGUACGGGUGCGUAACACGUGUGCAACCUACCUUUAUCUGGGAGAUAGCCUUUCGAAAGGAAGAUUAAUACCCCAUAAUAUAAUGAUUGGCAUCAAUUAUUAUUGAAAACUCCGGUGGAUAGAGAUGGGCACGCGCAAGAUUAGAUAGUUGGUGAGGUAACGGCUCACCAAGUCAAUGAUCUUUAGGGGUCCUGAGAGGGAGAUCCCCCACACUGGUACUGAGACACGGACCAGACUCCUACGGGAGGCAGCAGUGAGGAAUAUUGGACAAUGGGUGAGAGCCUGAUCCAGCCAUCCCGCGUGAAGGAUGACGGUCCUAUGGAUUGUAAACUUCUUUUGUACAGGGAUAAACCUACCCUCGUGAGGGUAGCUGAAGGUACUGGACGAAUAAGCACCGGCUAACUCCGUG
Molecule: ribosomal RNA, 479 nt
Filed under: uncultured bacterium
Lineage: Bacteria
Description: partial 16S ribosomal RNA
Rfam family: Bacterial small subunit ribosomal RNA
Source: RNAcentral